RNAcentral lists this ribosomal RNA (460 nucleotides) under uncultured bacterium. RNAcentral's name for it is "partial 16S ribosomal RNA". It matches the Rfam family "Bacterial small subunit ribosomal RNA", at positions 338 to 795 of the family's 1533-position model. The record is from RNAcentral.
CCUACGGGAGGCUGCAGUGAGGAAUAUUGGUCAAUGGACGGAAGUCUGAACCAGCCAUGCCGCGUGCAGGAAGACGGCUCUAUGAGUUGUAAACUGCUUUUGUACAAGGGUAAACCUGAAUACGUGUAUUCAGCUGAAAGUACUGUACGAAUAAGGAUCGGCUAACUCCGUGCCAGUAGCCGUGGUAAUACGGAGGAUCCAAGCGUUAUCCGGAUUUAUUUGGUUUAAAGGGUGCGUAGGCGGAGUGAUAGAUUAGAGGGGAAAUUUUCGAGCUUAACUCGGGAACUGCCUCUAAUACUGUUGAGCUAGAGAGUAGAUGCGGUAGGCGGAAUGUAUGGUGUAGCGGUGAAAUGCUUAGAGAUCAUACAGAACACCGAUUGCGAAGGCAGCUUACCAAUCUAUAUCUGACGUUGAGGCACGAAAGCGUGGGGAGCAAACAGGAUUAGAUACCCUAGUAGUC